UCCUUGGGCCCGUGAAUUCGAAGCAUUAGUUUUAGUGUAGAUUUGAUUUCGUAAAGAUUUUAGGUUUGAUAAUGAUUGGAACGAUUCCGUAAAGAUUUGGUUGUAAGAAUGGUUUAGUGACUAUUAUUAUGAUAUUGUGGACAAAUGUAUUUGGUGUGAAGAAUGAUUUGGCUUGUGAAUUUCAAUGUACUGCAUCAUUUUCAGUAUCCAUGUGUUGUAUGUUUUUCCUCAACAGAUGUACUUGAACUUCUCCCUGGGCUAUGGAUGAACUGCUUGUUUUUUUGUGUUGCUUAAUUUUGGGCCCGAACAUAUGAUCUUUGACUUGAACUUCUGCUUGAGAUCUGGCUGGGCUGCUGGUUUCAGAUGGAGAAGAUUUUCUGUGUUGUGUAAUGUAUUGUUAUUUUUCAACCCAACCAAUACGUAGCCUUUUGCAUAGAAUCUAUAUUUGUUUUUUUGUGAUUUUUCAACUGUGAAUGGAUUUCAACUAUAACAUUGUGCAAAAAUAUUCUCAUACACUCCUUUACGUUUCUUUAUGUUUUGUCGGCAUUGUACAUGAACUUAUGCACGUAUCCAAACAGAACUUCACAUCUGAACGUGUUGUCUUAGGCUUGCUAACCUUAGUUCAUACGGCAAAACUUUAUUUUUUAAGCAUAUUUUUUUCCUACAUCGAUUUUAUAUACCAGAACUUCUUCUGUAAGUUGGCCUGAACUUCAAACUGUAUAAUUAUUUGUUGGUUGCUCUUUUAUGGAAUACAACACCAGCACCUCCUGCCAUAAUAUACCAGAACUUCCACUGUAAUGUUACUUGAACUUCAUAGUGUAUAUUUUUAAUUUUUAUUCUUGCUUGCACUUUGCAUGGAAUACAUCACCAGCACAGCACUUCCUCUCAUAAUAUAGCAGGACUUCUGCAGUAAUAUUACUUGAACUUCACAGUGUAUAUUUUUCAUUUUAUUACUGCUUGCUCUUUCAUGCAAUACAUCACUAGCACAACACUUCCUGCCAUAAUAUAGCAGGACUUCUGCAGUAAUAUUACUUGAACUUCACAGUGUAUAUUUUUCAUUUUAUUACUGCUUGCUCUUUUAUACUUUACAUCACCAGCACCUCCUCUUACACUAUACUAGUACUUCUGCAGUAAGCUUACUUGAACUUCUACUGUAUAAUUUCUUUGAAACUUCAACAAUAAAAGUUCAAGUAAGCUUCUCCUAAAAUACUGUUUCAAAAGUGGAAUAAUAUUCUGCACAUUGACAUGACAUAAGUUUGCUUUGUUUAAUUGACCUAGUCUAACUGUUCAUCAGCCUUGCGCUCCUCCUAGGCUUUGGUUGUAGUGGUUUUUGAUUGACAUGUACCUCUUCCUCUUCAUCUUCCUCUUCCUCUUCAUCGUCUUCUUCCUCUUCAUCAUCCUCUUCCUCUUCCUCCUCGCAUUCCACUUCCUCUUCCUCUUCCUCUUCUUUGAUGGUGUCUUCAUCUUCGUCUUCCUCUUCAUCUUCCACCACUUUCUUGUUGCUGGCUCUAGGUUUUGCUUUCUGUUGCUUCUCUGGCUUUUUGCUUGUCUUUUCAGCAUCUGCGCGCUUCGGGCAUGUUCUUGCAUUAUGUGGUUCAUACUCCUUGCAUAUGCUACAAAAUCUGCUGCUUGCUUUCUGUGGGUGUGGUCCCUUGUUUUGUUCUACAACUUUGGGCUGCUGUUUUUGAACUUUGGGUUGCUUGACCUCCUCGGCAUUGUUUAUUUCUAGGAGUGUUGGACAUGUGAGCUUCUUGUGUCCUGCAACCUUUUUGCACACACUACAUUGCCUGUGUCCAAGUGGCACCCCGUUCUCAUCGAGCACGACGACUCUUCCUGCAGAGUAUAGCGGCAGUUUCAUCAUCUCUUGCUGCCGCUGCUGCAUUAAUUGGUGAACACCCUGCUUGCAUUGGUUGGCUUGAGCAACGGCGUGGAGCAUUUCAGCUGCAUAAUAAUGAAGGUCAUCUUCAAUUUCGGCAUCCUCUUCAGCCAUCCUUCCGUCAGCAUCUGCUCGAUUUGCUGAAUGUAUUGCAUCAAGCUCUUCCACGAGCCUCUUGAGAACAUAGAAGGCUCUGUCAUAUUGCUGAUCUCAUUGCUUUCUUGUUAACCAUCAAAUUGAGCUGCAGCAAGAUGUCUUGCUUCGAUAGUCUUGAGCUCCAUCCGAUGCAGUUGUGUUGUAGUCCCUUGUAUCAAAGGUUGGUUGUGAUUUUGCAGUCUUUGUGUACCGUUUGAGGAUAUACUUGUGUGGAAAUUUGU
Aegilops tauschii subsp. strangulata is the source of this 2253-nucleotide non-coding RNA. The record is from RefSeq and is a predicted model, not a curated record. Lineage: Eukaryota; Viridiplantae; Streptophyta; Magnoliopsida; Poales; Poaceae.